RNAcentral lists this transfer RNA (75 nucleotides) under Candidatus Calditenuaceae archaeon HR02. Its description in RNAcentral is "archaeon HR02 tRNA-Ala". It matches the Rfam family "tRNA". From Rfam's summary of the family: Transfer RNA (tRNA) molecules are approximately 80 nucleotides in length. Their secondary structure includes four short double-helical elements and three loops (D, anti-codon, and T loops). Lineage: Archaea; Thermoproteati; Nitrososphaerota; Candidatus Caldarchaeales; Candidatus Calditenuaceae. The record is from RNAcentral.
UGGGCCGGUAGAUCAGUGGCAGAUCGCCCGGUUCGCGCCCGGGAGGCCGCGGGUUCGAAUCCCGCCCGGUCCAAC